GAGCGAACGCUGGCGGCGUGGCUUAGGCAUGCAAGUUGAGCGAGAACGCGGACUUCGGUCCGUUAGUACAGCGGCGAAAGGGUGAGUAAUAUAUCGACAAUCUGCCUUGGAGACCGGGACAACGGCUGGAAACGGCCGCUAAUACCGGAUAGCCCCGUAGAAGGACAUCCUUCAACGGGUAAAAAGUGGGGACCUUCGGGCCUUCUGCUUCAAGAGGAGUCGAUAUCCUAUCAGCUAGUUGGCGGGGUAAUGGCCCACCAAGGCAACGACGGGUAGCCGGACUGAGAGGUUGACCGGUCACACUGGGACUGAGACACUGCCCAGACUCCUACGGGAGGCUGCAGUCGAGAAUCUUCCGCAAUGGGCGAAAGCCUGACGGAGCGACGCCGCGUGUAGGACGAAGGCCCUAGGGUUGUAAACUACUGUCGCGAAUUAUGAACCCCUUGUCGUUAAUAGCGGCAAGGCUGACGUAAGUUUGAAAGGAAGCACCGGCUAACUCUGUGCCAGCAGCCGCGGUAAUACAGAGGGUGCAAACGUUGUUCGGAAUCACUGGGCAUAAAGCGUGCGUAGGCGGUUGUGUAAGUGUGAAGUGAAAGCCCACGGCUUACCCGUGGAACUGCUUUGCAUACUGCACAACUCGAGGAUGGGAGGGGAGAGUGGAACUUCUGGUGGAGCGGUGAAAUGCGUAGAGAUCAGAAGGAACACCGAGCGGCGAAAGCGACUCUCUGGUCCGGUACUGACGCUGAGGCGCGAAAGCUAGGGGAGCGAACGGGAUUAGAUACCCCGGUAGUCCUAGCCCUAAACGAUGAGCACUAGGUAGUGGUGGUUCCGAAUCAUCACUGCUGUAGCUAAUGUGUUAAGUGCUCCGCCUGGGGAGUAUGGUCGCAAGGCUAAAACUCAAAGGAAUUGACGGGGGCUCACACAACCGGUGGAGGAUGUUGCUUAAUUCGAAGCAACGCGAAGAACCUUACCUAGCCUUGACAUGCUAGUGGUAGGAACCUGAAAGGGUAACGACCCUCUUUGAGGGAGCUAGCACAGGUGUUGCAUGGCUGUCGUCAGCUCGUCCCGUGAGGUGUUGGGUUAAGUCCCGUAACGAGCGAAACCCUUGCCUUUAUUUGCCAGCGGGUAAUGCCGGGGACUAUAGAGGGACUGCCGGUGUCAAACCGGAGGAAGGUGGGGAUGACGUCAAGUCAUCAUGGCCCUUACGUCCAGGGCUGCAAACGUCCUACAAUGGUCGGUACAAAGGGUUGCCAACCCGCGAGGGGGAGCUAAUCCCAUAAAGCCGGCCCCAGUUCGGAUUGCAGGCUGAAAUUCGCCUGCAUGAAGUUGGAAUCGCUAGUAAUCGCGGAUCAGCUACGCCGCGGUGAAUAUGUUCCUGAGCCUUGUACUCACCGC
Molecule: ribosomal RNA, 1395 nt
Filed under: uncultured prokaryote
Description: partial 16S ribosomal RNA
Rfam family: Bacterial small subunit ribosomal RNA
Source: RNAcentral